GGAAUAUUGGACAAUGGAGGCAACUCUGAUCCAGCCAUGCCGCGUGAAGGAAUAAGGCCCUAUGGGUUGUAAACUUCUUUUAGACGGGACAAAACCCCUUUACGUGUAAAGGGUUGAGGGUACUGUCAGAAUAAGCAUCGGCUAACUGCGUGCCAGCAGCCGCGGUAAUACGAAGGAUGCAAGCGGUAUCCGGAAUUCUUGGGUUGAAAGGGUGCGUAGGCGGACUAAUAAGUCAGUGGUGACAGCCUGCAGCUUAACUGCAGAAUUGCCAUUGAUACUGUUAGUCUUGAGUACAGUUGAGGUAGGCGGAAUGUGUCAUGUAGCGGUGAAAUGCUUAGAUGUGACACAGAACACCGAUUGCGAAGGCAGCUUGCUAAGCUGUAACUGACGCUGAGGCACGAAAGCGUGGGGAGCAAACA
Molecule: ribosomal RNA, 419 nt
Filed under: uncultured bacterium
Lineage: Bacteria
Description: bacterial SSU rRNA
Rfam family: Bacterial small subunit ribosomal RNA
Source: RNAcentral